GAUGAUAUCGUGAUGUUGAUGGUUUGUUUGCUCAACCUGUGGAAUUUGUGGUCGGAGUUGAAUCGUAUACGAUGAAGAAGACGCCGAUUCUCCUCGGAUUUUAGAGAUCUAUAACCGUUCAAUCGCAUCAAUCCAGAGCGAUUCGUUUUACCGAACCUUUUCAGAUCCCCUUUUCAUAUCGUCACUACUAUCCAUACCAUUGGUAAGAUUUUGUUACUAUGCUUUUAUUGAACGUGUUUGAUUGUAUGGUUAUCAUGAUGUGCGUUAGAUAUGCGGUGUUCAGUUUCACGGUGGUCGAUCUGCGGUGGCAACAACGUGUUUCCGUCAGUGCUUGUGGUGGUGGGAUUUAUGGUGCCAUGGCUGUUGCGGGGAGUUUUAUAUGUUCAAUUACCAUAAUUGACUCUGUUGGAGGUUUUCAUCUUUUAAUAGAUGUUGUUCUUUAAGAACUUGGAGAUGUCUUUCCUCCAAUUAUGUACAGAUUGAUAGACAGUGAUUGAAGGUUUUGUUUUGUUUAAGAUAUGUGAGUUGAAAGUCGCGACGAGUGAAUGUGGACAACCUGACUCGGUGUUUGCGGAUUUGGCUUAGUCGGUAUCAGUUGAGCUGAUGAAGGAGAAGGAUUUUGAUAUGGCUGGUGAUACACGGGAUUGAAAUGGUCUCAGUUCAAACCUGGUCUCUGCAUCGGGGAAGGAGUUAAGUUGGAGACUUGUGGACUGCUGAAGUUACUCAUACUAUGGUAACAUGCAUCUGAAUCUUCCCUGCUUGCUUGGGAGGGUACGACCUGUUGGAAGGAGAUAGCCUUGAUGUCCCUGCUGCAUCAUAUUUGUUAUAAAAUCCUUGGUUGCUAUUUGGGAUGCUUCUUCCACUCACAUUGCUACUUGAUAAAUGAUCUGCAUCAUAUCCACGUGAUCGGGAACUAAUUGGACAUAGCACAGAUGAUGAUGCUCUAGCUUUAGCUAAUGCCUUAGCAACAUCGUUGGAAUCUAAUUUUGCAAGUUUCCAUGCGCUUAUUCGCACUGGGCGAUGGUUCAAUUUUUUUCCUUUGUCAGGUGGUUGGUUGUAUUGCAUCUGGGUCCAUAGUAGAUGGUAGGCGGCCUGGCUCCAAUUGAUGUAUCAUUUCAUCCUGCUUAUUCAACUCCAGGCACUUGAUCAACACCCAAAAAUGAUUACCUAUUACUAAGAGUGAUUCUAUUGUGUUUUGUGCAUUAUUUUAUUCAACUCAAUUCUCCUUUCUUAUCUCACAGUAAUUAUUUAUUUUAUUUGUAAUGUUUAAAGAUAGGUUAUUCAUUUAAAACAGUUCCUAAUCAUAUAAUUCAAGCAAUUGUACAAAGAUUGCAGUACCUGGUGAUCUAUAAAUAUUCUCAGAGGCGUACACCAGGCACCUUCGAUUUGCAAACUCAUUCCGACAGAGCUUGCUAGGAUUCAACUUCCUGAAUUGAGAAAAUCUUGACUUGUGCAGGUAAUGUACUGGUAAUAGUCGUUGCCGCAGUCAGUUCGGUGAUCGUUGCGGUGGUUAGAGUGAUUAUUUUUUAAGGUCGCAGAAUAUUGCCGGAUCUAUCCCAUGAUUUGCUUUUAUUCUGUUCAAAAUGAAUGGCUAUGACAAGCACGUCAGGUUACAAGGGCUCCUCCUACUCAUAGCAAAGGAGAGUGAGCCUGAUAUCAUCAAUGGUGUGGGUGCUGAAACAUGACAUGUAAUAAGAACCAGCAUUGGUCGAUGAAAUGGUCAAUCUAAGCAAUCAUACUUACGAAGCCCUAGCUGAAGUCGAAAAAGAAAUCGAAGUCAUCCUACAGAUGUUGCUUCAUAUGUCAGGUGAAAGCUGAUGUACAAACACAAGGUGAUUUUGUCACAUCCUUGGAAACUGAAGUUAGAGCAUCCUCCUUUACCGAUGUCAAUCACCUGGUUGCCUUUGUGAACUGGCUAGAUGAAGAACUUUCCUUCUUGACUGUUAGGCUAUUGGGUCCUCCAACAAAAUUUGAAGAUUCAAAACUGAAGGUUGUUCUAUUGGAAGACCAGAUUAACAGAUAUGCAAGUAUUAUUCCAAGAAUCUACAUUCUAUCUCUCUGUGACUUAACAACUAAUCUCACUUUAGAUAUUUCCAAAUUCAUCAAACUCGCCAUGGUAUAAUUAUUAAUCAGUGUGGAACACAUUAUGACAGUCUUCUGAAUAGAUGACAUAUGGUAAACAUCUGUUGCAAUCUAAGUAAGGUGUUGUGUUUAUUUGCUUUGCUAAUUUUGAUUACUCUAUUUGAUUGUCACAGGUCAAUAUUAUGGAUACCUUAAGUAGACUUUCUAGGAAACUACCAUUCCCUUAUGCCACAAGUUCUUUUUAUAUCUUUGAUCAGAGUUGCAUUAUUUUAUGUUUUGUAUUUUAUAUCUAUCAAGUUUAUCAUUAUCAGUUUAUUGUUGUUAUAAUUCUCUCUUUUAUGUCGAUGGAAGCAUCGAGAAUGAACGAGACAGUGGUAUCAGCUGACACCUAUCGGGGUAGAAGAGAAUCAUUGAAGUCACUUGCACGGGAUGUUCUUGAUGGGAAUUGGCCAGAUGGAAAGUAUUUCAUAUCCAGACCAUGGUAUGAUAACAAAUCUUCUCUCAUGGCCUUCAUGCUUCCAAUGAUAAGGAAUGGGACAAGUGGUUCUAUUUCCUGUAGAGGUAAUGUGACUGAGAGUUCAAGAGUCACUACCAGGUAUGUCUUCUAAAUAAAUUUCGUUAAGAUAUGUUCUCUGAUUGAGUCUCUCUAUAUAGAGAUAUGUGCUAUACACCUAAACAUAUCUUUUUUGUUUAACACUCCACAGACAUUCCUUUGCUACCCUGUAGUUGGUUGUUGACAUCUUUAUCUUCCUUUAUGUUAAUAUGGAUGCUCUGGACAUUGAAAGCUGGAUGUUUAUUAGUGAUAUGAAUGUCCUAUAUUUUCUGUUGGUAUUUUCUUUGUGGAAGCUUCCAAAAUAAAGUAAUCCGAUUGAUUCAAUUGCUCCGCUGUGAUGAAAAAGUGUUGUCUCAAUCAAAAACACCAAAAUCAGAAUUGGCACUGAAACUGUAAGAAUCUUUCCUUGGUGUUAUUUUAACUUCUGCUAUUGUCACUUGUGGAAUUAUUUUAGUACUAAGGAUUCAAGGGGACAGUUUCUAUGGGAGAAAUAAUUUUGAUGAAUUUGAAAUGGAAUGGUCUUUCACUCCAUUCCAGAAGCUUAACUUCAACAUCAACAACGUGGUUUCAAAGUUGUCGGAUUCAAAUAUCGUCGGAAAGGGUUGCUCAAGCGUUAUUUACUGCGUAGAGACUCCGACAAAACAGAUGAGGCAUAAAAAUAUAGUAAGACUUUUAGGAUGCUGCAACAAUGGAGGAACUAGAUUGUUGUUGUUUGAUUACAUGUGUAAUGGAAGUUUGUUUGGAUUGCUCCAUGAAAAGAGAUUGUUCUUGGAUUGGGAUGCAAGGUAUAAGAUCAUACUUGGAAAAGCUCAUGGUUUGGAAUAUCUUCAUCAUGAUUGUAUCCCUCUAAUCGUCCAUCGCAACAUUAAGGCUAACAACAUCUUGGACGGUCCACAGUUCGAAGCUUUUCUUGCAGAUUUCGGCCUUGCAAAAUUGGUCACUUCCUCGGACUGCUCAAGAUCCUCGCAUGUAGUUGCAGGUUCUUACGGAUACAUAACUCCAAGUUAGUUUAAAUGUUUUAAGAUUCGAAAAAGACUAUUUCAUACGACCUUAUCAUUUUCAAUGCUGAACUGGUAUGGAUGUUCUUGGUAUGGGCCUGUUUCAAACUAUUUCGAAACGGCAAAUUGUGGACAGGUUCAAUCAAGUUUGGAACAUGCAGGGUUGCCUCAAAUCCUAUGUAUACUUUGUGUUUGAAAUGAAUAUAUGUGUGAUUUUGUUUACACUAACUUUGCAGGUUUGGUGAAACUAUAACAGAGGCAUGAGAGCUCAUCAUAUGGUGAUGGAUAGACAUAAUAGGUGAAGCACUUGAAGGUCCCAUUGGUUUGGCAUAUGGAAAGCAUGAAGAUGGUCGUGAUGAAAGUGUAGAGGCCUGAUGAAUUAGAUUCUUUCACUUUUCUUCUCUUUCACUCUUUCGAUUACGCUAUCUCAUCUUUUCAAUUUCAUAUUAAAUUGUUUGUUAUAGCUAAUUUCAUAGGUAAAUUAAUCAAAUCUGUUACAUUAUCUAAUUAAGUUAUUGGAAAUUAAAAAUGUUGCAGAUGGAGAAUUUCAUUAUUUAUCAACUCAAGAAUCAACAAAUAUAGAUCCACAUAAUUCAUAUGAUGAUAACACUUUAGAGGAUGAUAAAGAAUAUUUGCAAAAUGCAAUGAUAAAUGCACUGUUAGCAUAUGUUGAAGCAUCUAAGGCUAAAUCAGAUUUUGUUUAAAGAGAGAGUGUAAAUCACAGUUGUUCAAUUACUAAGUGUGUGAAUGCUCUUGAUGAGAUUGAAGAUGUUACUCUUGAUGUUUAUAUGAAGGUUGUGGAGAAACUUAUAGAUCCUAAUUGGAGAGAAGUGUUUCUUGCUAUGUGUAUUGAUAGGAGAAAAGGAUGGUUAGUUAGAGUUUAGGGAAAUUCAUGUAAUGCAUUGUGCACUUAUUGUUGUGUUUAUGCUGAACAUGUGUAUGUGUUUUUGAGAUUUAUCAUGUAAUUUUGAUGGUGUGGAGCUGGACUCAUGCUACAAAUUGAAAACAAUAACAUGGAAUUUUGAAAUGUAAUGUGAUGUGCUUUGACUUUGAAUUCAAUAAUUCAUUUUCCUCUUUUUGUAUUCAAUUUCAAUUCAAAUUCUCCAAUUCUCGCACUCUUAAAUCAAGUAAUAUUAAAAUAAGAUGAAAACUCUAAAGUAGUCUAAAGAUGAA
Molecule: RNA transcript, 4806 nt
Organism: Vicia villosa (hairy vetch)
Lineage: Eukaryota; Viridiplantae; Streptophyta; Magnoliopsida; Fabales; Fabaceae
Gene name: LRR receptor-like serine/threonine-protein kinase RGI2
Exons: 9
Source: RefSeq, a predicted model, not a curated record